This is a long non-coding RNA of Lycium ferocissimum, 1246 nucleotides long. RefSeq lists it as uncharacterized. The transcript is spliced from 2 exons. Lineage: Eukaryota; Viridiplantae; Streptophyta; Magnoliopsida; Solanales; Solanaceae. The record is from RefSeq and is a predicted model, not a curated record.
AUACUUUGUAUAAUCAUGUAUAAACAUGAAACCAAUUCAAAUUGCAGUGUAUAAAAAAUGUAUAUGUUCUGUAUAGCUAUAUGUAACUUGUUCAACAUUUUUUGUAACUUUAUAUACACUAUUAUACAUUACAUAUACAUUCUUAUAUAUUAUAUAUAAUGUACACAUAAUAUAUAUCCUUUGUAUAACUAUGUAUAAACAAUGUAUUCCUUGGGGGACCAAAAAAUUAUCGCCAGAAAAUCAACCAUAACCAGGUCCACUGGCCAGAAAUCUUCUCCAGCUCCUUCCAACUCCGAAAUCCACCGGAUUUGAGGCUCUCUUUCAAUUCUUGUUGAGCCAAGCAGUAAAAAUCUCCUUGAUCGCCACUUCUCUGUCAUCGACUCGGUGGCACGCCUUCCACACGAUUGAGAAAGACACCGCCCUAAUUUGCUUUUUCAACCACAUAGUCCCCAACCUCAAAUCUCUCACAUCUGCUUAUCGAUUGAGCUAUAGCGCCUCAAAGAUCCCCAAACCCUAACAAUUUUGAGUAAUCAAAUUAAUAUUGAGAUUCUGACAUUUGUAGAACAAAGCAAUCCCUGAGUUCCGAAUUUCCAGAAACAAACAAGGUUAAGAAUAUUGGGGAAAUCGUAUUUAAGUUGAGCUCGCCGGAGAAUCGCGAUGAACUGAUAUGCCUAGUUCACAAUUUUGGGACUUCUGGAUAUUGCCCUACCAGAGCAUUAGCCGUUAAAACGAUCAUGCCGCACAGAGUUACAAUAGAUGAGCAAGUCAGCCUGAUCGACGAUCGAAAAAGCACUCAGUUGUACGGUGGUCAACUAGAAGAAGUGGGCAUGGUACGCGAACAGUAGAAAUUGAAAGUUGGCUAAAAUUUCGAUAAUUUAGAUUGCCGAAAGGUUACAUGGGUAAGAAGUGGGUGGUUGGGUUAAAAAUGGCAAACUAGAUGCCUGACUGGUAUCUGUGUGUAAUUAUCUGUUGAUGAAAUUGCACGAAUUUCCUUCAAAUGGCAGGUCUUUAAUUUUUACCCUUUAAAUGGGUUGGUCUUUAACUUUUGCCCUUUGGCAAUUUAACUUAUGUUUAGUGGAGCAUAAUUUUUUUUAAGGGGACAAUUCGUGCGGGACAUAACUUGUGGGAUAUUAUGAUGUGAAAAUAUAAAUUUAUGUGCCGCGACCAUUUAAAGCAUUAAUUACUCCUAAUUAACAACUCGUUCCGUUUACUUUUACUUGUCUACUUUUGACUUUGAAUGCCUCUU